AAUUCCAGCGAGAGACAGAGGGAGUGAGCGGGCGAGUUGGAAGGAGCUCAGUGUGCAGAGCCGCGCUCCGGGCGUCCUGGGAAGGCAGCUUGGGAGUGAGAGGGGCUUCGCCUCCGGGCCUGCCGCCCCCCUGCCCCAGCCCUCCGGCUGACCCAGCACCAGCGAUCGCCACCCUCGCCCCCUCUGGGAAACUUUGCCCAUUGCAGCGGGCAGACACUUGCACUGGAACUUACAAUCGGCGAGUGAGGACAGGACUCCCCAGGCGCCGGGGAGGAAAUUUUUGUCUAUUUGGGGACAGUGUUCUCUGCGUC
Molecule: non-coding RNA, 311 nt
Filed under: Mesocricetus auratus (golden hamster)
Lineage: Eukaryota; Metazoa; Chordata; Mammalia; Rodentia; Cricetidae
Source: RNAcentral